AAACCAGCACCUCAAGUGGUCAGGAGGAUUAUUGGGCCUAAAGCAUCCGUAGCCUGUUCUGUAAGUUUUCGGUUAAAUCCAUUAGCUCAACUAAUGGGCCGCCGAAAAUACUGCAGAACUAGGGAGUGGGAGAGGUAGACGGUACUCGGUAGGAAGGGGUAAAAUCCUUUGAUCUAUUGAUGACCACCUGUGGCGAAGGCGGUCUACCAGAACACGUUCGACGGUGAGGGAUGAAAGCUGGGGGAGCAAACCGGAUUAGAAACCCGAGUAGUCC
RNAcentral lists this ribosomal RNA (274 nucleotides) under uncultured bacterium. RNAcentral's name for it is "partial 16S ribosomal RNA". It matches the Rfam family "Archaeal small subunit ribosomal RNA", at positions 473 to 747 of the family's 1478-position model. The record is from RNAcentral.